Molecule: ribosomal RNA, 467 nt
Filed under: uncultured bacterium
Lineage: Bacteria
Description: partial 16S ribosomal RNA
Rfam family: Bacterial small subunit ribosomal RNA
Source: RNAcentral
GACGAACGCUGGCGGCGUGCUUAACACAUGCAAGUCGAACGGAAAGGCCCUGCUUUUGUGGGUGCUCGAGUGGCGAACGGGUGAGUAACGCGUGAGUAACCUGCCCUUGACUUUGGGAUAACUUCAGGAAACUGGGGCUAAUACCGGAUAGGAGCUCCUGCUGCAUGGUGGGGGGUGGAAAGUUUCGGCGGUUGGGGAUGGACUCGCGGCUUAUCAGCUUGUUGGUGGGGUAGUGGCUUACCAAGGCUUUGACGGGUAGCCGGCCUGAGAGGGUGACCGGCCACAUUGGGACUGAGAUACGGCCCAGACUCCUACGGGAGGCAGCAGUGGGGAAUAUUGCACAAUGGGCGGAAGCCUGAUGCAGCAACGCCGCGUGCGGGAUGACGGCCUUCGGGUUGUAAACCGCUUUCGCCUGUGACGAAGCGUGAGUGACGGUAAUGGGUAAAGAAGCACCGGCUAACUACGUG